CGUAGGGCGGAGCGUUGUCCGGAUUUACUGGGCGUAAAGGGUACGCAGGCGGCCUUGUAAGUCAGAUGUGAAAGAUCACAGCUUAACUGUGGUAAGCAUUUGAAACUAUAAGGCUUGAGUUAAGGAGAGGAGAGCGGAAUUCCUAGUGUAGCGGUGAAAUGCGUAGAUAUUAGGAAGAACACCAGUGGCGAAGGCGGCUCUCUGGCCUUAUACAGACGCUGAGGUACGAAAGCGUGGGGAGCAAACAGGAUU
RNAcentral lists this ribosomal RNA (252 nucleotides) under uncultured bacterium. RNAcentral describes it as "partial 16S ribosomal RNA". It matches the Rfam family "Bacterial small subunit ribosomal RNA", at positions 526 to 779 of the family's 1533-position model. The record is from RNAcentral.